GAUGAACGCUGGCGGCGUGCCUAAUACAUGCAAGUCGGGCGAACAGAUAAGGAGCUUGCUCCUUUGACGUUAGCGGCGGACGGGUGAGUAACACGUGGGUAACCUACCUAUAAGACUGGGAUAACUUCGGGAAACCGGAGCUAAUACCGGAUAAUAUUUCGAACCGCAUGGUUCGAUAGUGAAAGAUGGUUUUGCUAUCACUUAUAGAUGGACCCGCGCCGUAUUAGCUAGUUGGUAAGGUAACGGCUUACCAAGGCGACGAUACGUAGCCGACCUGAGAGGGUGAUCGGCCACACUGGAACUGAGACACGGUCCAGACUCCUACGGGAGGCAGCAGUAGGGAAUCUUCCGCAAUGGGCGAAAGCCUGACGGAGCAACGCCGCGUGAGUGAUGAAGGUCUUCGGAUCGUAAAACUCUGUUAUUAGGGAAGAACAUACGUGUAAGUAACUGUGCACGUCUUGACGGUACCUAAUCAGAAAGCCACGGCUAACUACGUG
RNAcentral lists this ribosomal RNA (497 nucleotides) under uncultured bacterium. RNAcentral's name for it is "partial 16S ribosomal RNA". It matches the Rfam family "Bacterial small subunit ribosomal RNA", at positions 28 to 507 of the family's 1533-position model. The record is from RNAcentral.